RNAcentral lists this ribosomal RNA (253 nucleotides) under uncultured bacterium. RNAcentral's name for it is "partial 16S ribosomal RNA". It matches the Rfam family "Bacterial small subunit ribosomal RNA", at positions 524 to 776 of the family's 1533-position model. The record is from RNAcentral.
UACGGAGGGGGCUAGCGUUGUUCGGAAUUACUGGGCGUAAAGGGCUCGUAGGCGGCCAACUAAGUCAGACGUGAAAUCCCUCGGCUUAACCGGGGAACUGCAUCUGAUACUGGAUGGCUUGAGUUCGGGAGAGGGAUGCGGAAUUCCUGGUGUAGCGGUGAAAUGCGCAGAUAUCAGGAGGAACACCGGUGGCGAAGGCGGUGGUCUGGGCCGGCACUGACGCUGAGGAGCGAAAGCGUGGGUAGCAAACAGG